UAGGGAAUUUUCGUCAAUGGGGGCAACCCUGAACGAGCAAUGCCGCGUGAGCGAAGAAGGUCUUCGGAUUGUAAAGCUCUGUUGCCGGGGAAAAAGGAAGG
This 101-nucleotide ribosomal RNA is filed under the name uncultured bacterium. Its description in RNAcentral is "partial 16S ribosomal RNA". It matches the Rfam family "Bacterial small subunit ribosomal RNA", at positions 355 to 455 of the family's 1533-position model. The record is from RNAcentral.